This is a long non-coding RNA of Gastrolobium bilobum, 6287 nucleotides long. RefSeq lists it as uncharacterized. The transcript has 3 exons. The record is from RefSeq and is a predicted model, not a curated record. NCBI's taxonomy places the organism in Eukaryota, Viridiplantae, Streptophyta, Magnoliopsida, Fabales, Fabaceae.
UCCCGUGUAUGCGGGAUUGAUAUCAUCCUUACUGCUCCUAUGUGGACAGAGUUGCUGGGAUUUGACUUCGACGGUGAGACAGGGUCAGCACUAUAUGACGGAGACAACCAUCAUAUAUUUGGUAGUUAUGAUAGGGAGGCUGUUGUGGCUGAGACCAGGAGGGCAGAUGCAGAGGCCGGACAAUUUACUCAUUAUCCUGUCAGCAAUUUGUCCGUGUCUGCCCGCAUACUUCAUUAUGUGGUGACCCACAUUAUUUUCCAGCGCCCUCAUAAUCGUUCGAAGGUGCUGGAAGGUGACUUUGUGAUAUUGUGGGCCCUCCUUCACCAUAUUAAGGUGAACUGGAGGCACUACAUAUGCAUCUUGAUGUGGAAGGCGGCCAAGUCAAAAAAGGCUGAAUUGCCAUUUGCAUUCCUGGUCCAGAAGAUUUUGCAAAGAUUUGGUGUUCCUAUGGCAACUGAGACCAUGAAGACAGCCACAUGAUGGAAUGCCAUCUUUGGGGAGCGCCUUUUGAAGCAAUGCAGGAUUAUGCAGAGCCCAGCAGGUGUGUGGUACUGGAAGAAGGCAUCUGAACCACCAGAGGUCCCCCUUCAGCACGAUGCUCAGAUGGAGGAUGCAGGUGCAGGACUUGAUGAUGAUGACUCAGAUGAUGUUGUCCAUUCUGUUGAUCCCACUCCUGCACAUCGCAGCCGCACACGACGACCACCAGGUCCACCAUCACUUGAGGGGGGAUGGACAGCUCCUGAGGGAUGAUGGACAUUUGAUCAUGUGAUGGCCUCCAUGUAUCGCUUGACAUGUGGACAGGACGCCGUGAUGAGUGAGUUUAGGGGCUACAGACAGAGUACAAGCAAGUGGCGAACAACGAUGGAAAGCAGGAUGACACGCUUGGAGGGUGGAUCAGCAGGGGGUCAUGACAUAGGUGAUGAGGCUGCGUGAUCUUUGACCGCCCUUAUGAUGCUUCGAUGACGAUCAGAUAUUAGGCAAAUAUCGUGCCUAUGUGUGACAUGAAAACGUAAAAGGCUCAGAAACCAAGACCAAUCUUCCAACUUCUCACCUAGAGGAACAACAACGAAGGCAAUAGGGAGCAGAUGUCCAUCUCCAUCCUGUGAUGUUGCAAUCAAGAGUGUUCCUCUGUACUUCCCAUACAGAUGAGUGCCGUCAAUUUGAAUUAUAGGCUUGCAGUAUUUGAAUGCUUCAAUGCACUAGUGAAAUGUCCAAAAAACCCUAUGAAAUAUAGAUCUGUCUGUAUAAACCCGACGUUCGUCACAACAUGGAUUUAUAUCAAGCUUGAACACAGAACCCACAUUCACCUGCGUCAUAUACAUCAGCCAAUUGGGCAAGAAUCCAUAGGAUUUCUCCCAGUCACCAUACAACUUAACAAUGGCUUUCAUUUUUGCCUUCCAAGCCUUCCUGUACGUGAUGUUGUAUCCAUAUAUUCCUUGUAUCCUCUCUUGUAUCAGAACUGGUUUUGUAGCUGGAUCUUCCUUUAACAUGUCUGUAAAAAAAAACACAACUUUACCAUAUUCUCAAUUAGAAGAUUCGUUAAGUUCAUCGUAGAAUACAUACUUAUAAUAGCCGCACAUAUUACAUCUGAGUCCAACUGUCUAUGAUCCUGUGAAAGGCCUUGAUUCAGGCAUGUGUGAUCUUCACCCCAUUUACGGACCACCCAAUUAGCUCCCUUCUUGGGCUUGAUUGCCCUCAUAAACCAUGGACAUCCGUCAGUAUGAUUUCUACAUUUCAUAACAAAUCUGGACUCGUCACUUUUUUCGACUAUGGCUGUCCUGCGCCCCUUCAUACAAUGUAUCUUCACAGCAUGUUGCAUUUCUGGUUUGGAGCCAAAUUCUUGUUGCACAAAUAAUGGAUCUCCUAACUUCCAACCUCCGUGCAAGUCAUCAUCCCCAUACAGGAUCUCCAACUCGUCAUUAGGGUGCGCCCAAUUAAUGAAUGAAUAAUGUUGGCUUUCAUUUCAAAAUGGCUCUACCGCAGUCCCUGCAUCUAAAGCUUCAUUGAUUAUUGUCUGAAUCAAUAUCACCGAAUAUAUAUAAUUUAUUAAAGCAAAUGUGAAAAUUUAAUAACUUACCGCUACUAACAGGGUCAACAUGAAGUGGUGAACUGACAGGAUCAACAUGAAGUGGUGACAUGACUGGGGUACCCAGCCUUACAGCGCUCGUGUCAGCGUCAAAAUUUUCAUCCACGUCAGUGUCAGACGAAUCACCCUAUGGAAUAGCACUUUCAGAUUCUCCCUCAUCUUCGCUGUCCACAUACUCCUCAUCUUCAUCGUCUUCAUCCUUAUCCAUUGUUACCUGAGCAGGUGCAGAUGAUCGUACAAUUGUAUCUUCUUGACCAAUACAGUGCGCAGUGGUUGUAUGCACCGGUAACGAUGAAGACUGACCAGCAUCAAAUUCAACAUAUAUCUCAAUCAUUUUUAAUACUUUCCAUCCAACAUACGCAUCUGUGACGAACUCCACAUCUUCAUCAUCAUUGAUAUCGUUACCAAUGUAGUAUAUUGUAUCCAUAUCCACAAUAGUCUCUAACCUGGCUAUCAUGCGGUGGAUGGAAUGGAUGCCUUCUGACCCCAUUUUUUGGAGAAUUCUGUCCUUGAGUUCAUUGCAUGUAGUGCCCACUUUGAUUUUCAUCGUUUUUGUUUUUCCUUCAAAUCGGACACCAUUCGGACCUUCAAAAUGCCUCCCAUUGUAGUAAAUAACUAUAGGUACCAUGAUAGGACUUGAACUCAUCUUUCACACGAAAAUUUGGGUUUAGGUUUUGGGUUUGGAUCUUGGUUCGGAUUUUUUAACACAAAAAUGGAAAUGUGGAGGUGUAAUGCCAAUACCAAGAUUAAACUUUUUGAGAUGAUGAGAUGAAAUAUAUGUGUGAUGCUUCGGAAUAGAGACGUGAAGGGAAACUGAUUUGGGGAGAAAAAACUCUACCUCGCAACAAUGACCGAAACCCUUGGUAUUGGGUACCCUAUUCGCGAAAUCUACCAGGGUACCCCAUUACCUACCCGGGUAAAUAAUUCAAAAAAUUUCCAGAUCGAAGAAUAAUUCCCGGGUACCCCACUACAUACCCGGGUAUGGUUGAUUUUUUUAAAAUAUACCCGGGUAUGGAGUGGGGUACCCGGGUAUGCUUCGUGGUCAACGGUCAAACAGGGGCAGAUUGGUGUUAUGUUUGUUUGGAGGGUUAAUUUUUCGUAAUAGUUUCUAAUCGAGGGCAAUUUGGUAAAUAAUUAUUAAUAAAGGGCUACAGUGGUCAAAAAGCCUAAUAAAAUUACUAGCAAAUCAUAAAAACUAAAUAUACUAACCUAAUAUUUUUAGCAACAAAGAAAGAGACCUUUAAAGAACAUAAAAAUACAAUAAAAUUAUUAAUAUAGCAUAUAACAUAUUGAACAAAUUUUAUAAAAUUAUUAAUACAAUAAUCACAAAUUUUUGUUGCAAUUAAAUACAAAAUAUUAAUACUAUAAACAAUAGCAAUAAUCACAAUUAAAUUCACUAUUCUAACAUUUUAAGACAAAAAGAGAAACUUACAAAAAUCUAAUAUCUUAAUAAUAUGAUUUUAACACAUGUGGACCAGAUUAUAAUACUACUUACUUGAAAAUAUGACAAAUCUAAUAUGUUAAUCAUACAGCAAACCUAAUAUCUUAAUAAUACUGCAACCCAUUAAUUUUAAUAAUAUAGCAAACCAAGCAUAUAAUAAUACUACUUACUUGAAAAUGAUACAGACAAUGGCAAACUGAAAGAAACCCCACAACCACUACACGCGUUCUUUGUUGGAAGAGACUGGGAUCUUCUGACUGAGACGAGGGAGAAUAAGUAGUGGUCCGAGGAGGGCUGGAUGCGGCAUCUAGAAGAACGCCUCCUGGACGCGGCUUUGAGACGACCGCCUUCAGUGGAGGAGAUGGUGGACCACCAUUGGCUGGCGGUUCGCGGCUUGACAGGUACCGCGUCAGUGGUCUUCCGACACUGCAGAGACGCAGUCUUCACACGAUCACGUUCCAGUUACAUCACUUCAGCCCAGUUCCAUCACUUCCAGCACCGAUUGUCACGUGAUUUCUGUUGCAUGUAACGCGGUUUUGAACAAAACGCGACUGAAAACGGUACAUUGUCCACCGCGUCGUUAUGCACUAUUCCGACAAUACAUUUCACCUCGAAAUCAUUCUGGUGAUACAUUUUAAAACUCACAUCACCAUGGUCAAAAGGCUGUUACAUUCUUUUGUUUUUAAUCAUUAGAUCAGCCAUGAACUUCAGUACAGCAAGCCGAAAUAGAUUUUGUGAAUUUGGAAAAUAACCCUUUGUUAUGCUUUGGGGUUGUCCAGUUGAAUUAGUAUUUUAAUCCAGCUUUGCAUACUCUGAAUUUAUAUAGACAACAUGUAUAAUGUAUAAUUUAAUUAACAGUGAUUAAAUGACAAUUGUAGAGUUUUGUUAAGAUGAAUUUAUAGGCACCUAGUAAUCAUGAAAAUCGAACCUGUAUGCUUAAGGAAUUGUGUGUUCUAAAUUUUGUAUAAAUGAAAAAGCUAUGUGUACCUAGUUGUUAACUAAACCAAACCUGCAUGUGUAGGUCCUUGGAAUGAUUCUUUUUGUUACUUGCUAGAAAUUAAUACGACAAAAAUUAAAGACAGGAAGAUAAUUAACUUAUGGUAAGGCAGCUUUGAAUUAGAAUGAUAAUUUAAUUUAAGAACCUUGAGACCGAUUGGAAACCAAAGAUUUAGGAGAAUGGAAAGAUAUGUAACGUAAUUGAAUGAAUAUAAUAAAUUCUGAUUUGUCGUACGUGGUUGUUUAGGUGCGCAAGGUCCUGAAUAAUUGGACUGUUUGAUGAUAUUCGGAAUGCUUGAUGUAAAAGCUAAAGAGUUAAGGAGGGCUUAGAGGCAUUUGAAGAAGUGUUAGAUGACUUGAGUACAUGACUAUUAUGUUUAAGUUAUACUGUUGACAACCUUGUUGUUUGCGCUCGCUGUCUCUGUUGAGUGUAUUCUGAUUACUUGACCUUGAUGUAGUUUCUUAAAGUACGGCAUGCCAUGAUGUAUAUUUUGUCUUGAAAAGAAGUUUAGCAUGACUUUUAUGUUUCUGGUAUUUAGCUUGCGAAAAGAAUUGUUGUAGUAUUUAAAUUCGGAUUUUGAACUGUUUUUGCGAGCACUUUGCGAGUUGUUGUUCUGGGGCUACAGACCUCCGAUUGAGGUAUACUUUAUAUGGAUGUAAAGCCCCAGUUGUGUACUUUCAGAUUAUAUAAACCUUAUAAUGAAAUUCUGAAAUCCCGAUUUAUUAUGAUUUUUACAAGUCAGGAGGUUUCUGGAAAAAUACGCUGAGUUUUUGAGUAUUUUACGAGUUCUGUUUCGUGGGGCUAUUCUCCUCCAAUUCGCGUAUAAUUUAUAUGCACGCGAAGCCCCAGAUGGUCCAACAAGUUAUUGUUUCAAUUAAAGUUUCAAGUCAGCGCUGAUACUGCCUCCACUGAAAUUGAAGUGAGGCCGGCAUUGGUGAAGCCAUUUAGGGCCUUGACUUGGGUUAAAUUUGUAUUAGGUCUCAUUGUUGGCCUUAGUUUAACGAAUGGGCCGGCUCUGCUAUUGGCUGGAGCUUAGAAAAAUUGAGACACGCCUUCCGGUUACAAUGGCAAUAAGACUGAAGUCUGGUACAAUAAAGUAGGAGUUUAAUGUCAUAUUGUUUUGAAUACGAGAAAAAUUACUCUUUAUAAAUCAUAUGACUGCGCGAAAAAUUUGUGAGGCUUGCCUAUUCACAACCUCUUCUUAUGGGUUAGUGAAUUGGAUUGUUGCAAUCCAACCGGUCAUCGGUUUUUGGAUAAAACUGCCGAGUCAAAACAUGAUAGGAAGUGUUGUUGUUUUUAAGUCUAAACCUUUUGGUAUUCUAAUUUCUUAUAAUCUUAUUUUGUGCACCCAUUGGCGAGGUACACAGCGAAUGAUCAGGUCAUUAUUCCAAAAGAGUUUUGUGUGAUUAUCUCUUGCAGCUCUUGCUGAAAAAUAUUAGCUUCCGAAUAGCCGUAUCGAAGUUGAAAUGUUCGAGUCAUGGUUCUUACUGUUGUUGUCCGUGUAGAAAAACUCACAGAAGUAGCUAGAAUCAUGUUACAAAUGAUGAGCCAAGGAAGGAGAAAAAAGAUCAACCGGUCACAUGGAAGGUCUACACAUGCAAAAAUGUGCCAAAUGAAAUUAGGCUAAGUGCUUUAUUUUUGCUAGUGUAUUAUAUUUGGCAGGAAGGAGGGAAUCAUGGGAAUUUAUUGGGUCUAUAUUUUGCAGGAAUGUGGGAAUCAUGGGAAUAUAUGGGUAUAUAUUGGUUCUGUAUCCAUUUUGGAGG